AUUGAACGCUGGCGGAAUGCUUUACACAUGCAAGUCGAACGGCAGCACGGGUGCUUGCACCUGGUGGCGAGUGGCGAACGGGUGAGUAACAUAUCGGAACGUACCCAGUAAUGGGGGGAUAACUAGUCGAAAGAUUAGCUAAUACCGCAUACGCCCUGAGGGGGGAAAGCGGGGGAUCGUAAGACCUCGCGUUAUUGGAGCGGCCGAUAUCUGAUUAGCUAGUUGGUGGGGUAAAGGCCUACCAAGGCGACGAUCAGUAGCUGGUCUGAGAGGACGACCAGCCACACUGGGAAACUGAGACACGGUCCAGACUCCUACGGGAGGCAGCAGUGGGGAAUUUUGGACAAUGGGCGCAAGCCUGAUCCAGCCAUUCCGCGUGAGUGAAGAAGGCCUCGGGUUGUAAAGCUCUUUCGCAAGGGAAGAAACGAUACGAGCGAAUAACUCGUGUUAAUGACGGUACCUUGAUAAGAAGCAUCGGCUAACUACGUGCCAGCAGCCGCGGUAAUACGUAGGGUGCGAGCGUUAAUCGGAAUUACUGGGCGUAAAGCGUGCGCAGGCGGUUUUGUAAGUCAGAUGUGAAAUCCCCGGGCUCAACCUGGGAACUGCGUUUGAAACUACAAGGCUAGAGUAUAGGAGAGGGGGGUAGAAUUCCACGUGUAGCAGUGAAAUGCGUAGAGAUGUAGAGGAAUACCAAUGGCGAAGGCAGCCCCCUGGCCUAAUACUGACGCUCAUGCACGAAAGCGU
This 744-nucleotide ribosomal RNA is filed under the name uncultured bacterium. RNAcentral describes it as "bacterial SSU rRNA". It matches the Rfam family "Bacterial small subunit ribosomal RNA", at positions 28 to 762 of the family's 1533-position model. The record is from RNAcentral.